ACAAUGAUUUUUCUUUGUUGCUUCUGUUACUGUUGGGCAUGCACCUGAAAGAAGUUAAGGAAAAAAAUUUAUCAGUUUUUGAGUAACAUAAAAACCUAGACUUAAAACUUCCUAGAUAAGAUUUAAUGGUGAUCAAAGCUCCCCGGCAACGGCGCUAAAUUUGAUAUCACUCAAAUUACCUUAAGUGAUUUGUAAUCUCUCAAAUAAAAGGUCGAGUUGUAGUUCUUAGGGAUCGAAUCUAUAAGGAGCUGAGACACACAAAAGAUCUUACACAGUUUAUAAUUAAGCUUGGUCAGUUAUGGAAAUAGCAAAUUGCAGUGGUGAACUUGGCAGUUGUUCGGUUGAUUGGUUUUGAGGUUUUGUAAACAAAUAGCAAAUUGAAGUCGAUCCUCUUCUUUAGGGAUUUAGUAGCUCUUAUAUAGUCGUCUAGGAGUCGGUUCCAUUAGGUUAAACUCUUCCAUAUUCGGAAAUAUGGACGGUUCUCCUUUAUCGGAAGUUUUCCAUUUCUUGGACGGGAGCUUGGUUCCAGGGACCGAACUCAGGGUUCCUUCUAACGGGGACCUGGAGCGUUCCCUUAUCGGGGACCCGAGGGUCUGGGUCCUGCCUGGAGGUCGGAGGAAAUAAUACCGGGAUAUUUUUCCCCAACAAAAGUGUCGAUCGAUAUUCCAAUGGGCGUAUCGUCGCGUUCUAGUCAAGCUUUAUGCGCAAGUUGAAUGAAUGCUUACUAAGCUCACUAGAUCAGCUAUCGCCUUGCUCAUAGCAAGAAACAAAGUUCAAGUAGAAAGUUUUCAGGAUGAGAAUUAGCUAUGGCUUUUAUCAAUCAAUACUAGGGCAAGUUCUAGGUAAGCUAAUCUAGACACAUGCAUUAAUGAACAAUUCUAAAGAUGAUUAUCACAACUCAGCAAUCUAUAGUUGGGGCUAAUCCCUCCUAACCUAUUUAAACCCUAAAAUCUAACAAGAGAACUACUCAGACAUGGCUAAGCAAUUCAUAACAAUAGUUAAGUAUAAAAACUUCAUAGAUAGAUGAAAUAGAUAUCAAUGGAGUUCCAAUCACCAAUUAUAACUUUGGAUCUUCUCUCCUAUCUAUCAAUAAAACAAUGAAACACAAAGAAAGCACACUUUGCCUCAAACAUGGCGGCAAAGCUUAUAUAAUUAGGUUAAAAACUAAUCAGGGGCAAUCUUGUAAAAUAGUGAAAUCUUGGGCUUUAACUCGGCUGUGACCAAACAGGCUUCCUGCGCGCUUCGCUAUCGAUCGACACCAUGACUUGUGUUUCGAUCGAUUCUUUCUCUCCAAUAUCGACUGAUUGUCGAUCUCGAUGGUCAUCUCGGGUGCUUGCUCCAAAUAUCUCCAAAAUGCUCCAAAAUCGUCACUUAUGUCCAAAACAUUCCUGACCUUCAAAGAGGAAGAUGAGCGCAAUGGAGCCAGAUGAGUACGAUGAGGACUACAUAGAAGAAGAGGUUAUUGAGUAUUGUGGUCUUGCCAUGGAUGAAGCAUGAUUUCUCACGAGUUCCCAUAAGACCAUAGGGGAAACAUCGAUCUACGGGAACAACUAUAUAUCGAUCGAUACUCAUCACGAAACAUAGCCACACGCUAGAGCGGAUGAAUCAACAUCGAUCGAUAGGACAGGUCAACCAUCGAUCGAUGGUCGCUUCGAGUUUGGACAUAGAGCUUAUGAUUCUGACUGCAAAAGAUUAUUCCAGUGUGAAAAAGAGUUGGGUACGGCAUAUACAUAGACGAGCAUGGAUAUGCACGAGCGCCUGAUGGAAGAAUCAUUCAUGUGUCUAGGGAAGACAUUAUAGACAUUCUGGAAAGAGAUACAAUGCAUGUACAAACUCGUAUCUGUCUACCAUACCAUGCAGAGAAGUUCACCAGAAUCUUGCCAAGGCUAAGAAGCUACAGAAGAGCAGAUAUUGAUGACAUUGUACACGGGAUCUACAGACCCCAAGAGAUGUCACUGUAUGAUAACUACAAGAGGCUUGAUGAUGUCUACUACCCACUUAACGACAACAUUGACAGGCUGACUACACGCAUGGAUGAGCUGAAAGAGGAGAUGGACGUAAUUCGGAGACAAAAUGAAAUCUGAAGUUGUUAGAGGACAAGCUUGAUGAGAUUAAUUUUUCUCAAUAAUUGAUGUGGGAAGACUUUUCCCAGAGAUUAGAGGACCUUGACGAAACAACUCAGGCCAGACUUGGAAUGCACCAGCACAACAUCAAUAACCUUCAGAAAAGGAUGCAUGUCAAUGAGGUUGAUAAGGAGAUACUGAAAAAUAAGUGGACCAUAGGAGAUGAAUCCAUAAGAAGAUUCAUUGCUACAUGGUUUCAGAUGAGUGAGGAAGAUGUAGACACUUGUUUCCUAAUAAGUAGUCAUCCACCUCCUUACUAGCCAACCUACUUCCAAAGUCAAGCUAAAUGAAUAUAACAAAGCGUUGAGUGGGAGGCAACCCACUAUUAGGUAAUUUUACUUACUUUUAUUCUGGAUCUAUUAUUGAUUUUUGCAUUUAAUUUAUUGCAGGUCAAAAAAAAUAAAAAUAAAAAUAAAAUAUAACCAAAAAAUGAGACCCAAGGAGAAAAUUGUCCAGCCUAUCGACAAAUGAGACCAGGUCGACAUCGAUUGACAAAUCUACACCAGCACCGAUCGAUAGCCACUUAAUUGUGUCGAUCGACAUCAACCAUCAGCGGGAAGGUAUAUCGUUCUACCUUGUUACAUAGUGUACUUAUGAUUUAUUUCUCACCAACCUUCGAACAAAUACACACUGGGACGGUUUAAUUUAAUUCUGGGAGGAGGUUUACUGAUAUCUAAUUUACUUUAUGAGUUUUACAAAAUGUUUUUCAAAAAAGUUUUUAUUGAGUCAAGAAGGGGAUAAUGAACUUUACAAUUUCACUUAUUAUCUAACCACUCUCUAGCACCACUCUUAGAUUUAUUGACUGCAGAAUGUAUUAGAGAUACUAAAGUGGAUCACCUACCAAUUAUCCACACUUGCUGAGAAUGUUUGAAGGAACCAAAACUGAUCUCCAACCUAACUGAGCUUAAUCUGCUUGUAUUGGGGCUUGGUAUACAUUAGAUCGGAUUCCUCCUUCAAGUCUGGAAGGUAAAAGUCUGUAUGGAUCUAGUUUUCCUUUCUCUCCCCUUCAGUUUUAAAAAGGAUUAGAACAUGACUUGGUGGCUACAAUCAUUAAGGCUUGAUUCACAAAAUUCUAAAAAGAGAUAAAUGUCAAAAAGAAGUGAACAGGAUAUGGUGGCUACAACUAUUUGAGUUUGAUUCAUGGAAACCUGUCCAAAUAUCUCAGUCAAUUAAAAAAAUAAAAUGAUACCCUUUAAAAAAGGGAGACAUUGACUGAGGGAAGUGAGAAGAGAGAGAGAGGAAAGGAACUAGAAAAGACUACUUGUGUAUUCAGAAACUUGUUUAAGUAAGAUUUCAUGUGUCUUUUGAUCGAUACACCCAAGGUAAAACCUACACCUUUUAUAUAUGUAUUAAAUGAGAUCAAUAGAGGGGUGAGUCAGACACUAUUAGCUAAAUUGAUGGUUAGAUAGAUUUGGUUGCUAAGCUAGGAUAUGGUAUAUAAGAUACCUCUGAAAUUAGAAUUGAUUUGAUGUGGCUUGCAACAUUGUAGAGGUGAUGAUAUGAGUUUUUAAAUUGUGUGAGUCCCUGCUGUUUUAAAAACCUCAUUUGCAAAGACUACUCUUUGUUUUGCUUGAGGACAAGCAAAAUGGUAAGUCUAGGGUGUGAUAUACUAUGGAUUUUACCCAUAUUUAGCCAUGGUAUUUAGGUGUGAUAUACCAUGGAUUUUACCCAUAUUUUACCGAUAUUUAACCCUAUAUGUGUAUCGAUUGACGUUCUGAAAGGUGUAUCAAUCGACUAUCCAUCGAUAGUAUCGAUCGACAUUUUCCCCAUGGCAACAAACGACAAUUGAGAUCUGGGAUCCAGACAAUAUAUAUUCUAAACAAACGAAGUUGAUAGAAUAUUACUUAGUUUGAGUUCUAGAAUAUCCAGUAUACAACCUUAUCUUCUAUGCUAUUAUAAUUCUGAUUACAUGAAUAGAAAUCCUAAGUCUAACGCUUUCUCAUAUUAUUUACAAAACCUCAAAACCAACCGAACAACUGUCUUGUUCACCACUGCUUGAAAUUUUACCAUUUCUAUAAUUUACCUAGCUUAAUCAUAAACUGUUUAAGAUCUUUUGUGUCCCCCAGAUCCUUUUGAAUUUGAUCCCUAAGUACUACAACUCGACCUCUUAUUUGAAAGAGUAAAAAUCACUCCUUAAGGUAAUUUGAGUGAUAUCACUUCAACUAGAACCAAACCAUUGCCAAAAGGAGGUUGCACUCGACUUAUGGCAACGUUCAUUGGAUCUUUAUCAAACUCAACUAGAACCAAACCAACUUUAUAUGUGGUAUUUAUUGAUUCAGAACAUGAAGGUUGGAACUUAGCAUUUUCCUUUGGACUCACAGCUCCUAGAGCGACAUGUGUUUCAUCGAGUAGAAUGAGUAUUCUUUGAAUCCAUAGGUUUUUUAAUUGUUGUAGUUCUAGGGAAAUGAGCGCACUUCCGGGGGUAACCAAGGAUAGGAGACUGAUAUUUCCGUUUCAUGACCAUUAAAAUUCUUAGAUGAUUAUGCUUGGCAACUCAGAGAGGAGAUUGACUCUUACCCAAAGUUUUGUAAGUUCAAAUUUUUCUUUACGCCCGGUCUACUGAGACUCUCUCUCUACUGAACAAUACAUAAGGUACCCGCGAAGUUUGACCAGGCCUAUUGUAGUGGUGAGCUGAGGAUCUUCAUAAGAGAAGUUCGAUGACCAAGGAGCGAUGAACAUAGGACUCCCAGGCUGGGGCGGAUCUACUUAAGGUAAGUAUGGGGCAGUUGCCCCCCCAUGAAAUUUAAAACUUUCCAUUAAAUGAUAAUUAUAUAUUUCAGUUGCCCCGUUCAAAAAUACUUUCUGACACCCUAACAAAAUCUAUUCUCAAAGCUCAUUUCAAAAUAUCUAUUAUUUUCAUUUUUUUACAAGGUCAUUUAUUAUAUUUCUUUUAGCAUUAUUAUGUUUCCAUAUUUGAUUUGCGAACAUUAAAUCAGUGUUUCCGUUUUAUAUAAAUAAAAUCAAUUUAUUUUUUGAACUUAAUAAAAUCAACUUGUUGCUAAUAAGUAUUUUUAUAACAGAAAAUAAAUAUCUAUUUAUUUAAUAUGUUAUAAUAACUAGUUUUCUUUACUUUAUCGUAAUACAUGCAAUGACAAUAAAAAAAUAUUAUUUUUAUUUUACUUUUUCAUAUAUAAUUAUUAAUCCAUACUAUGAAUGAGAAAAAAAACAAUAUUUUAGAAGAAAAAAUUGUAUGAUCUUAAAAUAUGUACUUGUAUUUGUCAUGUCAUGAAAAACCUGUCUUUUUCUAUUUAUAAUUUCCGUUUUAUUUUAUUUUUUUAUAUAAGAUUUUUUCCCUACAAUGGAUCUGUAUAAUACACUUAUAAAGUUGAUAGAAAAUAUUUCUAUAGAAUAUAUAAUGCAAAUGUUAUUAAUGAUUAUUAAUUGUUUGCCCCGGGUGAACUUCUCGGCUAGAUCCGCCACUGAUUACCCAGCUAUCAUCCAUGUUGGUCUACUGAGUAUAACCUCUCUUGUUCUCACAUUUGAGACCUUUAAAAGAGAGCAACCAUUACCAAUUUCAUGAACAAAUAUCAUGGAACCUAAGCAACCCCAAAUAGCAUUUACAGCUCAAAUGAUUCUUCCUUUGGGAGGAACAUCGCCACUGAAUCGGGCAAACAAAAACUCCUUGAACUCUUCUUUCGCUUCAGCAAUGUUUUCAUCCAGAAUGAGGACAAAGGGAGCAAAUGAAAUGUGCUGAGAAGGAGUGUUAAGCUCUUCUAACUGCGCAUAGCGUUGGAUGAUGCUUGCAAGCUAACUCGUAGAUGAAGACCGUGGGGUCUCCAUGUUAAUUAAUUUUAUGAUUUCAGUUAUGAAAUCUACACCCAAGACCAUAUUCUAGUUUAGAUUAAUUCAACCCUAAUACUUUCGAGAGAAGAAAGAAGAAACACUAACCUUAAUUCAUUCGUAUUUGGAUCAAUCCUCAUGUUGAUCUUCUCCCCUUUAACCUUCUCUUUAGUGAUUUCUUUGAUGGACAAGAAAUCCUAAUCCUUUCACUCAUUCUCUUAACCAAUGAUAUUAUUGUGGUGUCUUUCUAAGAGAAGUAACUCUCUCUUUCUUACUCACGUAAGACCAGAAGAAGUGUGGCCAAAUAUAUAUUUAUUGUCUUGGUAACUCUUCGGUGAAGAGACAUCACACUUCAUACCCUCUUGUCUUAACCACUACUAUUAAUAUUUAUAUAUAUGAUUAUAGAGAAAUGACAUUUAUAAUUAAGGUAAAGUAGGAGGGUUAUCAAUACACCCAUAUUCUAAUUCUUUUAUCGAAACCGAUCCAUCACAGUAUCGUCUUUUAUAUUAGAAUAUAAAAUUUUAAUAUGAACUUGAACUUUGUAUUAAACCAAUAGACACAUAGGUCAUAUAGAAUAUAAAAUAUUCUUACAUUCUCCCACUUGACCUUUGUGUUGUCUUAAGGGUUUAAUAACUAUAAUGUGCACUUUUACUUCAAGUUAACUUUGAUCUUUACUAAAAUUAGAAAUGAUCGGAUCAUGGCGGUUGUAUGUCAUUUAGCCGGCAAAGUCCCUUCCAUGUAUCAAAAAUCAAUUCUAACUUUAUAUUAUCCUUACAUGAGAAUAAUUUAUAUUCUCAAAACUUUACUAUAUGUUAUCGUUGAACCAUAAAUGUGUACACAUACUUUAAUGAUAACAUAUCUAAUAAAUCAGAAACUUAACUUUAAGUGAAUUCCUAGGUGUCAAAUACUUAAUGAGCAUUCCAUAAAUAUAAUAGCAAGACUUUAUCUAUAAUAUCCAUACGCUCUAAACGGCCGUUGAACGCCUUGGGUGGUAAACCUUUAGUUUGCGGAUCCGCUAUCAUUAUAUCCUUUCUUAUGUGCUCAAAUGACACUCUAUGUUUCUGAACUUCUUCUUUAAUAGACAAGUACUCUAACUUAAUGUGCUUAGCACCCUUCCAACACUUGUCAUCCUUUCAAAAGAAGACAACUGCGAAAUUAUCACCAUAAUCUCUCAGCGGUUUGGCGUUAGUGUCGACAAUCCAAAGCCCUGAGAUAAAUUUCUGCAGGCUCCAUACAUGAAUUGUGGCUUCAAAGCAUACCACAAUUCAACCUUAAUAGUGGAAGUAGCAAUGACAGACUACUUUCCACUUUCCUUUAAAUUGUUCCCACAAAUAAUAGAACAAUACCUAAACGUUGAUUUUUACCAUCAACGCAUCCGACUUUAUUUGAAUCUGAAAAUCCUAUGACCUUUAAUUGAUUGGAUCUCUUUUAUGUAAGCAUGUUCUCGUUUGUGCCUUGCAAGUACCAGAGGACUUUUCUUUGCAGCGUUCCAGUGGUUCAUUCUGGGAUUACUUUCAUAUCGGCCCAAGUUUCCAAUAUCAAAACUGAUAUCAAGCUGAAUACAUUCAAACUCCCAACCACUAAUGUCUAAGGAAAUCUUUUUAUUUCUUUACGCUCCUAUUCAUUUUUAAGACAUUAAAUUUUACUAAACGUAUUUCCCUUUUGAAUUGGAGCUAUUCCUACGGAGCAUUUUUCUAUUUUAUAUAUCUCUAAGAUCUUACUGAUAUGUCCUUUCUGAGACAAACUCAACAAUCCUUGUGAUCUAUCUCGAAAAUAUUUCUAUUUCAAUUACGUAAGACGUCUCACCCAUAUCUUUCAUUUCAAAGUUCUUAGAGAGAUACUACUUUACAUCAUGUAACAUGCCUUUGUUAUUUUCAGCAAGCAUAAUUACAUCAACAUAUAAGACUAACAUCAAUAAUAAGCUCCCACUGAUCUUAAUGUAGAUACAUUGAUCUACGAUGAGCUCUACAAAACCAUACGUCGUGAUGAUAUCAUUAAACUUCAAAUACCAUUGCCGGAAGCUUGUUUUAGUCCAUAUAUUGACUUUCUCAGCUUACACACCAUAUUUUCUUUUCACGCGGCCAUGAAAAUUUCAUGUUGGUCAUAUAUACUACUUCCUCAAGCUCUACUUUCAGAAAGGCGGUCAAAUAUCUAUCUAGUGAAACUCAAGAUCAUAAUGAGCCACCUAAGCCAAAACAAUUCUAAGAGAAUCCUUAUUUUAAACUGUAGAGAAGAUCUCAUUAUAGUUAAUGCCAUCUUUUCUGGGUGAAACUUUUAGCAACAAGGCGAGCCUUAUAUCUUUCAAUAUUACCUUUCGAGUUAUGUUUAGUCUUAAAGAUCCAUUUACAAUCAACGGUUUUGAAAUCAUUAGGAAACUCUACUAAGUACCAAACUCUAUCACCCUUAUAUCUUAUCUAUUUGCGGCAUUAAGACUUUUCCAGAAUUGUCACUUUCCAUGGCUUUUUGAAUGAGAUCAGGUCUUCAUAAAUCUUUAAGGCACAUUCACUUUCAAUAGCAGCCACAGUUAUUUGAUAUGGCAGAUCUGCUUUUCCUUUCAGAUCGCUUUUAAAAUUACUUAUGGUUCACUAUUCUUUCCUUGAAUUGCAACAUGAUCAUUGACUAUAUAUUUUAGCUAGUGGUAUCGGUGCACCCUUAUGUUGUUCUAUUGUGUAGAAACAACUACCUCAGAUGCAACUUCAGGUGAAGGAACUUCAACCCCAAAUCAUUAAUGUCCACCCUUCGUAGUUCACUACUCCCACUAGUUUCACCAUUCUCAAUGAACGUAGCAUUACCCGAUUCAACUAAUAUCGUACUAUGGUUAGAACAAUAAAAUUUCUUCUCCUUUGAUUCUUUCAGGAUAGCCAUAUGGCAGUCAUAUGAUCAAGUUUCUUUUCAUGUGGGAUAUAUAGCUUUAUUUAUGAUGAGCAACCCGUUACACGUAAAUACUUCAAACUAGGUUUCCUUCCGUUCACAGUUCAUAAGGGAUCUUAGGAACUGUCUAACUAGAAACCUGGUUCAGCACAUACGUUGCAAUUUUAAUGCAUAUAUCCACAAAGAAAGAGGUAAAGAGAAAUUACAUAACAUGCUUCUAACCAUCUCUAUUAUAGUACGAUUCCACCUCUCUACUACACCAUUCUUCUAGGAGUAUUAAGCAUACUGUAUUGUGCACAAUGCCUCUACUUUGAAGUAACUUUCCAUAGAGCUCACCUCCUCUAUCAGAUCUCACUACUUUUACUAAUCUAGCCGUCUUUCCAUCUUAUCAGUGAACACCUUUAGCACAUCCACAAACUUAGACCUUUCAUGCAGUAGAUAAGUAUAUACAUACUAUGAGUAAUCAUCAAUAAAGGUGAUGAGGUCCUUUUCACCGCUUCAUGAAGGAGCAUCGAAAGGGACACAUAUAUCGGUGUGUAUUAACCUAAGAAACUGAGUGCUUCUUGUGGCUGGUUUCUUUACAGUAUGUUUAGUCUGCUUUCCUUUAAUGCAGUCUAUACAUACAUGUAGGUCAUUAAAAUCCAAUUGAGGAGGAAUUUCACCCUUCACCAACCUCAUUCUUCCUUUGGAAAUGUGACCUAGUCUUUGAUGCCACAAGAAACCGAUCUUUCAUUAGAUGUGCUAUGAUUAGUGCCUCUAAUUUCAACCACCAAGUAUUACUAGAAAUUUCAAUAAGACUCCUUUCAUAGCAAACAAGACUUUAAUGUUUACUUUGUUAUCGAAACAACCCUUUCUUUUAGGACAAUCCAACUUGAAGAGUCUCGUUUUAUUGCAAAAGAAACAUUCCAUUUCCUAAGGUCUUUAACUUUACAGCCAGAUUAGACAUGUGAGUCACAUGAUCACGGAUUGGAUGGGACCAGUCAAACAUUUUCAUAGUUAGCUCAUUUAUGAGACUUCCUACAUCUGACUUACAACCAAAUCCGACUAUGAGCACUACUUAAAUAUACUCUAUAAAUUCCUUCUUAUUUUCUGUCUUAGACAUCGAUGACUUAACCCUUUCUACCGUCAUCAACCUCAUUACGUUCAAACUCAGCCUAUUAGAUUGAUCUUAUCUCUUACACAUAUUUUUGUUUUAAAAAAAAAAUAUAUAUAUAUAUUAUGAGCUAUCUUCCAUAAUGGCUGAGGGCCCCACAUCAAUUACUAUGGCGAAAUCUAAUGUCAUCACACCCAGUGUGAACCAGAUCUUUUCAGACUACUCGCGAAAUUGAGACCAUUGAACUUUUCGACAGAGUUUGAAAAUGAAAAUACAUUUGCUGAAGCUGCAAGCUUUAAUACAUGCUUACCCUUUACUACUUUGAAACUUUACUUCAGAUUCUAAACUUGGUAUAAACUUUCGCGUUUGUAUUUAAGCAACCUUUGGGCAAUACUUAAACACAAACACUUUCAGUGACGCCAAAAUACACUUUAAUAACUAAUCAUUUAAAACUCAAGUCAAAUGGUAUAUUACCUUUGGGUAUAUAUACUACCGACUAUAGUAAAAAAUGACUAGUUCUUUUCAUAUUAUUAACUAUAUUCAAUGAUCCACCUUUGGAUGAUCUCCAAAAAUAUAGAAAAUAAAAUAAUUGAUCACUAAAACUUUAAUGUCAUUUAGCGUCUUUUUUUUUUAUCAUGAUCAAUCAUACUACUAUUAAUUUUAAUAUUUGUAAGUAAAUAACAAGAUCACUUUGGUGACAAACAUGUCAUAAACUAUACGAACAUUAAAAGAUUAAUAGGGAAAUUUCUCCUAAUAUUAUGUUAUAUUUUAUAACAUAAUUUCUAUAUUGUGUUAAUAUUUUAUAACACAAGUUACCUAUUAAUAAAAUGCAGCGAAAGCAUUUUUUUAAAAUUACAACUUUUAUAUAUACAAUAUUUUAAAUUAAUAAAAUAUUAUAUAGCUUAUUUGUGUCCCUGAAACUGUAUGGAACACUUGUUCAUUUUCAUACAUUUGUGUAGUAACCGUUAACACGUCCAGAAUUUUAAACCAUAAUGAAUCAAUUAUUUCACUCAAACUUAUGUAUUCAUUGACAUUCAUGAAUCCACACAACCAGCAAUUUAUGUUGCCGUAACUAAUUAAGUAAAAUAAUUAAUUCUAAUCAAUCCUUUUGUAACGGCACUACACAAAAUCCCUUAAUCAUGCAUGUAACUUAUAUUUGUUAUCGUGAAACCCAGAUUUCACGUUGACACUAUUAAACAAAUACUCCUUAUCAUCGCAAAGUUGCAAACUUAAUGGUGACUCUUUCAUAUUACGACAAUAACCGCAGUAACAACAUUAUUUUCUUUCUUUUAUGGCAGUUGUCGCUCUCAAAUCUUUAAACCAGUGUCAUGUUCUUAAUUAAAAAAAAAAUCACUUAUAUCAUGGCAGCGACAACGCACAAUUGAUCCUUUAUCAAUUUCGACAUGCCACUAUGAACAGUUCUAGUGAUUGAUCUUUUAUCAUAAAUGUACGGUUAUGAAUCGUACGAUUACUUAAUUAUACUUUUUCAACCCACUAUCAUUUCUGCUAUGCAUUCUCUUAGUGAUACUAUUACGCCCUUAAUGAUACGAAACAUAGUACCAUCCCUUUUUAGAACGUCACUUAUUUAAGAAAAGGUCAGUGGCUUGAUCCAUAUAAUUAAGCACUCGUUCUCAAACAUGAUCCAAUGUACUUAAACCGAUACAUAUGUUUACCAUGCCGUACGAUAUACGAGAACUUACGUUACUAUUACAUGGAUCAUGAACACUCUUUAAAAUGGAUUAACCCAUGUAUGUUCAUGAACCCAUGAGAACUAAUUACAGUGAAUUAAUUAAAUCUAGAUUGGCUCUGAUACCACAUGUUAAUUAAUUUUAUGAUUUCAGUUAUGAAAUCUACACCCAAGACCAUAUUCUAGUUUAGAUUAAUUCAACCCUAAUACUUUCGAGAGAAGAAAGAAGAAACACUAACCUUAAUUCAUUCGUAUUUGGAUCAAUCCUCAUGUUGAUCUUCUCCCCUUUAACCUUCUCUUUAGUGAUUUCUUUGAUGGACAAGAAAUCCUAAUCCUUUCACUCAUUCUCUUAACCAAUGAUAUUAUUGUGGUGUCUUUCUAAGAGAAGUAACUCUCUCUUUCUUACUCACGUAAGAACAGAAGAAGUGUGGCCAAAUAUAUAUUUAUUGUCUUGGUAACUAUUCGGUGAAGAAACAUCACACUUCAUACCCUCUUGUCUUAACCACUACUAUUAAUAUUUAUAUAUAUGAUUAUAGAGAAAUGACAUUUAUUAUUAAGGUAAAUUAAGUAGGAGGGUUAUCAAUACACCCAUAUUCUAAUUCUUUUAUCGAAACCGAUCCAUCACAGUAUCGUCUUUUAUAUUAGAAUAUAAAAUUUUAAUAUGAACUUGAACUUUGUACUAAACCAAUAGACACAUAGGUCAUAUAGAAUAUAAAAUAUUCUUACACUCCAUAGACUGAGCAGGCAGUGCUCGCAUGCCUUGGAGUUGUCCAGAGGCCUGAUGUCAGUUUGCUCAACCGGGCUGGAUGAUGAAAACUUCAACGACUUUAAGUGGCGGAGAGGGAAUAUACAUCGUGACUGGAGAAAGUGAGGCAGAGGAAUGUAGAGCCUAGAUUGGGUGUGAAGUCGGAUUUGAAGUUAAGGCCGCCAGAUCUGCAAUAGGAGCUUAAGAGGAAGGUUUAUGGCUACUACUUGCAGGAACCAAUAGAGGAACAAUGGGAGUGGAAUCUUUUGAAUGAAUACCAUCAAUUGUAAAACGUGAAUCGAAGAUGAAGGCUUGAAGAAGUCCACGCCUAGUUUUUUUCCUUCUCUUAACCUUGUCCAUCGAGAAAAAAAGAUAAGCAAGUAGAGAAGAGAGAAGGAAGAGUUCUCAUCUGAUGAAAAAGAAAGGAAGAACCCUGAUCGCUUUCAGCUACGAGAAAGAGGAAAGAGAAAGCUGGUAAAGAAGUGGAUUUUAUCAACAAGGAGAUCAUUUAGUCACUCAGGCUUACCAUACAUGUAAUUAUUUUCACCACG
This 12850-nucleotide long non-coding RNA is filed under the name Brassica rapa (field mustard). RNAcentral's name for it is "long non-coding RNA (BRAP_LNC003576)". Lineage: Eukaryota; Viridiplantae; Streptophyta; Magnoliopsida; Brassicales; Brassicaceae. The record is from RNAcentral.